Molecule: ribosomal RNA, 438 nt
Filed under: uncultured bacterium
Lineage: Bacteria
Description: partial 16S ribosomal RNA
Rfam family: Bacterial small subunit ribosomal RNA
Source: RNAcentral
CUACGGGUCGCUCCAGUGAGGAAUAUUGCACAAUGGGGGGAACCCUGAUGCAGCAACGCCGCGUGGAGGAUGACGCAUUUCGGUGUGUAAACUCCUUUUAUAUGUCAAGAAAAUGACGGUAGCAUAUGAAUAAGCACCGGCUAACUCCGUGCCAGCAGCCGCGGUAAUAGGGAGGGUGCAAGCGUUACUCGGAAUCACUGGGCGUAAAGGACGCGUAGGCGGGUUGGAAAGUCAGGUGUGAAAUCCUACAGCUUAACUGUAGAACUGCACUUGAAACUUCUAAUCUAGAGUAUGGGAGGGGAGAUGGAAUUAGUGGUGUAGGGGUAAAAUCCGUAGAUAUCACUAGGAAUACCUAAAGCGAAGGCGAUCUCCUGGAACAUUACUGACGCUAAGGCGUGAAAGCGUGGGGAGCAAACAGGAUUAGAUACCCUCGUAGUC